GACGAACGCUGGCGGCGUGCUUAACACAUGCAAGUCGAACGGAAAGGCCCUGCUUUUGUGGGGUGCUCGAGUGGCGAACGGGUGAGUAACACGUGAGUAACCUGCCCUUGACUUUGGGAUAACUUCAGGAAACUGGGGCUAAUACCGGAUAGGAGCUCCUGCUGCAUGGUGGGGGUUGGAAAGUUUCGGCGGUUGGGGAUGGACUCGCGGCUUAUCAGCUUGUUGGUGGGGUAGUGGCUUACCAAGGCUUUGACGGGUAGCCGGCCUGAGAGGGUGACCGGCUACAUUGGGACUGAGAUACGGCCCAGACUCCUACGGGAGGCAGCAGUGGGGAAUAUUGCACAAUGGGCGGAAGCCUGAUGCAGCAACGCCGCGUGCGGGAUGACGGCCUUCGGGUUGUAAACCGCUUUCGCCUAUGACGAAGCGUGAGUGACGGUAAUGGGUAAAGAAGCACCGGCUAACUACGUG
This 468-nucleotide ribosomal RNA is filed under the name uncultured bacterium. Its description in RNAcentral is "partial 16S ribosomal RNA". It matches the Rfam family "Bacterial small subunit ribosomal RNA", at positions 28 to 507 of the family's 1533-position model. The record is from RNAcentral.